RNAcentral lists this ribosomal RNA (915 nucleotides) under Triticum aestivum (bread wheat). RNAcentral describes it as "partial small subunit ribosomal RNA". The record is from RNAcentral. Lineage: Eukaryota; Viridiplantae; Streptophyta; Magnoliopsida; Poales; Poaceae.
AUGUUGCGGACCUUUUCUGAUUGCAUGGCACAGAAGCAUCCGAUAUCUGUGAUCACAGAUGGGGACCUUGCAAUGCAGAGAGCAAUAAGGGUGGUCUGGCCAGAAUCAAACCAUAGACUAUGUAUAUGGCACAUUCAGCAGAACAUUGUACGCCAUCUGCAUGAUGACGACGUAAAGGAGGAAUUCAGAUCUUUCAUUUAUGAUACUUCUUCCAUUGAAGAGCAUGAGAUAAAAUGGAUACAAUUCUUACAACGGAAUAAAGUAACCAGUGAGGAGUCUUGGCUGCAUCAGAUGUAUCAGAUGAGAAAGUUGUGGUGUGCUCCAUAUCUUGAGGGGCGUUGUUUCCUAGGAUUGAGCAGCAAUCAAAGGAGUGAGAGCUUGAACUCUGUGCUACAUACGCAUCUUGAGGGUAACAUGUCGUUGUUUGAAAUGCUAGAGCACUAUGAGCGUUGCCUUGCGUCGCGACGGAUUAACGAAGCUCUCCAUGACGUCGAAGCCUUGCAGUCCGUUCCAUUUACAGAGGAAAAUGCUUCGCCGCUUGAGAAACACGCCGCAACAGUUUUCACACCUAGGGUCUUUAAGAUGGUCUUAUGGAGCAUAGAUGUUGUCAGCAAAUGUCAGAUUAGAGAGAUACUAGAUGGAUCAGAAGAUUCUACUUAUGUUGUGUCCAAGCAGGAAAGAAUGGAUAAAAAGUUUGGAGUGCGCAUUGAAGAGCAAGGAGGUCUUUUGCACAAGGUGAGUUGUUCUUGUCGUAAGCUGGAAUGCGCAGGCACACCAUGUUCCCACAUUUUUUACAUAUUGGGGAUUUUAAAACAAACAAUUAUGCCCGGUUGUUGCGUUCCCACUAGGUGGACUAUGAAUGCAAAAUGUGCAUACGCACCUACUAGAAAAACCAUAUGUAUGACUAUUCGCUAA